RNAcentral lists this ribosomal RNA (1137 nucleotides) under Triticum aestivum (bread wheat). RNAcentral describes it as "partial small subunit ribosomal RNA". The record is from RNAcentral. Lineage: Eukaryota; Viridiplantae; Streptophyta; Magnoliopsida; Poales; Poaceae.
AUGGCGCCGGUGAGCAACGAGACGUUCCUCCCGACGGCGGCCUGGGGGGAGGCGACGCUGCGCCCGUCCUUCGUGCGGGACGAGGACGAGCGGCCCAAGGUGGCGCACGACCGCUUCAGCGAUGCGGUGCCGGUGAUCUCGCUCGAUGGCAUCGACGGCGCGCGCCGGGCCGAGAUCCGGGACCGCGUGGCGGCGGCCUGCGAGGGCUGGGGCAUCUUCCAGGUGGUCGACCACGGCGUCGACGCCGACCUCAUCGCCGACAUGACGCGCCUCUCUCGCGAGUUCUUCGCGCUGCCCGCCGAGGACAAGCUCCGGUACGACAUGUCCGGUGGCAAGAAGGGCGGCUUCAUCGUCUCCAGCCACCUGCAGGGUGAGGCGGUGCAGGACUGGAGGGAGAUUGUGACCUACUUCUCGUACCCGGUGAAAGCACGGGACUACGGGCGGUGGCCGGAGAAGCCGGCGGGGUGGCGCGCUGUGGUGGAGCGAUACAGCGAGCGACUCAUGGGGCUGUCGUGCAAGCUGCUGGGCGUGCUGUCCGAGGCGAUGGGCCUGGAGUCGGAGGCGCUCGCCAAGGCGUGCGUGGACAUGGACCAGAAGGUGGUGGUCAACUUCUACCCGCGGUGCCCCCAGCCGGACCUCACCCUGGGUCUCAAGCGUCACACCGACCCCGGCACCAUCACCCUCCUCCUCCAGGACCUCGUCGGCGGCCUCCAGGCCACCCGCGACGGCGGCAAGACCUGGAUCACCGUCCAGCCCAUCUCCGGCGCAUUCGUCGUCAACCUCGGCGACCACGGCCACUUCCUGAGCAAUGGCAGGUUCAAGAACGCGGACCACCAGGCGGUGGUGAACGGGGAGAGCAGCAGGCUGUCGAUCGCGACAUUCCAGAACCCGGCGCCGGACGCGAGGGUGUGGCCGCUGGCGGUGAGGGAGGGGGAGGAGCCCAUACUGGAAGAGCCCAUCACCUUCGCCGAGAUGUACCGCCGCAAGAUGGAGCGCGACCUCGACCUCGCCAAGCGCAAGAAGCAGGCCAAGGACCAGCUGAUGCAGCAGCAGCUCCAGCUGCAGCAGCAGCAGCAGGCGGUCGCCGCCGCGCCCAUGCCCACCGCCUCCAAGUCUCUCAACGAAAUUCUUGCCUGA